GUCCCAUACCAUUGACUUUUCUUUGCUGCUGCUAAUGAUAUGAGCUGUCAGGCCUGUCAGCAAGACAGCCUGUUUUCGAGAGAUCAGGUUUUGCAGGAUUCCUUUGUCUGUCCUCAGGAGACCCCAGUGACACUGACAGCUUUAAUAGCCCAAGCCAAGGAAUCUGGGAACUCCGCUGCAUCUGCACUUCGCUGCAUCUGCACUUCGUCUGGAUCGGAAAGACGAAAGGGGAGGCAGGGAGACAUCUAUUCUGUUUGGUAAAAUAAACAAAACCUAUUUCUUCUAAAGAUCCCAAGGAAGGACACCCUGUUUCUGUAAUGUGGAAGAUCAAAGAAGGAAGAGCUUUCUCCUGUUGCGUACAUUUUAUAUUCCUUUAUCCUUGAGCAUGGAGUGCAGGAAACAUUUGUUAUCUGUGUUUAGAGGGACCAGAGACUAAUAACUUCUCAAGGUGCUGAUAAUCUUACGCUCUCCUCCAUCCAGUCCUGUUUAAACCUCUUUGGCCAGCGUGGUGCUCUGCAGACGGUUGCCCUCUUGGCAGGUUGGUCCGUAGCCACCCGACUUGUCAAAGUGGCAGCUGUAGGUAAGAUGCGAAGCUGAGCUCGGACUGUUAACAUCUCAUAACGUACUUCUGCAAGAACAAGAAUGCUACCGUCAAUUCUUGGCCGCGGUUAAGGACACUUUGACUGUCUAAAAUCCUCCCUGGAAUUUAAUGUCAGGCGACAUGUUCUUUGCUGGAAUAAAACGCUCCAGAAGCAGCUUUCAAUGCCGCUGCAGUUCUUGGCCAAAGCAAAGCACCCCGACUCUUUCCUAGAUUGGUAAGGGAUUACUCUGGAACGCUAUUUUGU
Chroicocephalus ridibundus (black-headed gull) is the source of this 845-nucleotide long non-coding RNA. RefSeq lists it as uncharacterized. The record is from RefSeq and is a predicted model, not a curated record. Lineage: Eukaryota; Metazoa; Chordata; Aves; Charadriiformes; Laridae. The transcript is spliced from 3 exons.